This 305-nucleotide ribosomal RNA is filed under the name uncultured bacterium. RNAcentral describes it as "partial 16S ribosomal RNA". It matches the Rfam family "Bacterial small subunit ribosomal RNA", at positions 333 to 635 of the family's 1533-position model. The record is from RNAcentral.
CACUUCCUACGGGGGGCAGCAGUGGGGGAUAUUGGACAAUGGGGGGAACCCUGAUCCAGCCAAGUCGCGUGAAGGAUGACGGCCCUACGGGUUGUAAACUUCUUUUGUCAGGGAGCAAUUGGGUCCACGCGUGGGCUUAGCGAGAGUACCUGAAGAAAAAGCAUCGGCUAACUCCGUGCCAGCAGCCGCGGUAAUACGGAGGAUGCGAGCGUUAUCCGGAUUUAUUGGGUUUAAAGGGUGCGUAGGCGGAAUAUCAAGUCAGCGGUAAAAAUUCGGGGCUCAACCCCGUCGUGCCGUUGAAACUG